GGAACACCUCAGCGUAAUGGUGUGUCCGAACGUCGUAAUCGCACUCUAUUGGAUAUGGUGCGAUCUAUGAUGUCUCUUACCGAUUUACCGCUGUCAUUUUGGGGCUAUGCUUUAGAGACUGCCGCAUUCACUUUAAAUAGGGCUCCGUCGAAAUCCGUUGAGAUGACACCGUAUGAAUUAUGGUUUGGGAAGAAACCUAAGUUAUCGUUUCUAAAAGUUUGGGGAUGCGAUGCUUAUGUCAAGAAACUUCAACCUGAAAAGCUCGAACCCAAGUCGGAAAAAUGCUUCUUCAUAGGAUACCCUAAAGAAACUGUUGGGUAUACCUUCUACCUC
Molecule: ribosomal RNA, 333 nt
Filed under: Triticum aestivum (bread wheat)
Lineage: Eukaryota; Viridiplantae; Streptophyta; Magnoliopsida; Poales; Poaceae
Description: partial small subunit ribosomal RNA
Source: RNAcentral